Molecule: long non-coding RNA, 11547 nt
Organism: Columba livia (rock pigeon)
Lineage: Eukaryota; Metazoa; Chordata; Aves; Columbiformes; Columbidae
Exons: 3
Source: RefSeq, a predicted model, not a curated record
GGAAAAAUACUCUGAAAAGACCCAAAAGGUUGAUGUCUUGCCCUUGAAGAAAGAGGCCACCAGGAAUGACAAUGCCUGUCUUGUGUGGCCGUCGGGACACCAAGGAGCUCGGUAACAAGCACGUGGCUCCCCCUUGGCCAUUGCCACAAGCCAAACUUUGCAUCUAGAGGGAAAUACCCACAAUUAUCUUAUUGUCCCCCUUCAUCUGCAAUUUCAACCUUAGGAGACCAUCCUCCGCACCAGGUGAGGGGGGAAAGGUCUCCAAUGAGCAAAGUGGCUUCAUUAUGCUGCAGCUGAGUUGUUGAUGCUGAUUAAUAACAUCUGCUUGGUGGCUACAACUUCCUCAGGCCUGGGAGAAGGUUGUGGGUAUUGGUUGAGUAGGUGGUUGUGGACAAGCUGAAUAAACCUUCCUGAGAUGCCUCCUGACCAGAGAUAAUAACCCCACUUGGUGAAACCAGUGCGGACGAGCCGCUGUGCCUCGCGCGUUGAUUCGCCAGCUCCAGAUCUGCUCUGCGAUAGCAGGCGGGACUCAGAGCUCGUGGAAAAGGCCAGAUCCUCCUCUCCCACGUGUACCGGGGCAGCUCCAAGCUUUGCCGGGGAGGAAUUUGGGGACCCUGCUUGUCUGUGGGAUUUCUCCCUGGGGUGCCAGACUCGCUGUACAACCACAUUGGGACUCACCUCCACGGACCAUCUGCUCGCCAGUCUGGAUGUGCUGCCUUUGGUGCUACACGCUUCCCCGACGGGAAAGUCUCGGCCAGAAAUAGAACAGCCUUUCCUGAGGCUCUCCGCUCACAGGGCCAGCUCAUUGAUACAGACAGCAUCAGCCCCUGUGUGCUGGGAGGAUCCCUGUGGAAAUUCAGGCCUUUUUUCCUGUCGUUUCAUUCAUUUUUGUUAAGCCAUCAGUGCUGGGUUCGUGGGAUACCCGCAAAGCUGGGACCUGCCAAACUCACUGCACGUGUGAGCAGCCCAGCUCUGAUCUCAGUGGGACCGGGGCAGCCCCUGCCCACACACCCACCCUGGCCCUGCCGGCAGUGAAUUCACCCCUGGGGACCCAUGUGUCAAGCAGAGCAAUUAAAAGCCCAAUCAGCAUCAUUUCAUCUACUCCUCGAUAACUGCUGUGAUGCCGUGACCCAUGGCUCGGGACCGCGUCCUCUCCCAGCCCUCUCCCCUCCACCUCUUCCCAGUGCCCCACAUGGGCUCUUGAUAUAUUUUUAUUGAUCUCUUUUAUGUAAAGCUCAUCCCUGCCAUUCACUCCUGAGUUAUAACAGGGCUCUUUGUUCCCCUGCACAAUGGAGUGUCCCUCGGCAGCCCCAGGGAGACUGGGCAAUGCUUUAAAAGGUUAAUGUCUCUGUUAGAUUACAAAUCGCUCUGAAGCCGUCUGCUGUCACUCUCAGGAGGUCGGAAAUAAUCACCUGGAUCUUUUAACUAUUAACCGAGCCUGAAUGAGACAGGGAGAUGCUGUGUCGGUGCUGCUACCUCUGGUUAUUGAGGGAAUGAUUGUCUGACUCAAACGAGCAUCUGAGCAAAGCGGGUUUUGCUGUGCUAAACUUUCCCAUCAUUGCAGACAGGGCAUCAAGGCUGAGGGUCUUGCAGGGAAUGCACCAAGAUUUGCAAAGGGAUUUAAGGGCUCUUUAGGUGCUGAAAUGUUGCUGUGUGACCCUGAAGGCUCUGCCCGUGUGCUCCAGCAUCCCAUCAUCAUGAGGUGCAGGCUACAUGUUGGACACACGGUGUGUGUGAUGUGCUGCACGUCUGGGCACAACCACACGUUGUGGCCAUGGGUGCUUUGUCCGGUUGUGCACCCUGCGUGUGGUGAAGGGUCCUCCCUCCUCUCUGAUCCCAGUCGGGGAGGGAAUUGCAGAUCAGGGAAUGAAUUCUCAGGGCCAGGAGGAGAGGACACGUGGCUCUUGACAUUGCCACUUUGGUGACUGUGAUCCCAGCUGCGAAUCUGAAAAAUCAUUGUUGCAAGAAUUAAAAAAAAGAAAAAAAAUCAAACUAGACACGGCUCAUGACUUUGGCUUGUUUGGGGAAACAGCUGAACUGUGCUCUAACUUGACAAUGAGAAACAAAUCUGCUGCUUUGCCUCCUUUCGCCUCUUUCCCCGAGCCCCCGAUCCGACAGCUCCCAGGCCCGCCGUGGUGGGAAAAGCCUUGUUAGCAUUUCAUGCGGUCGCAUAUUUUUCGUGUGUGUGUUGUGCUCUUGGUUGAGUUGAAUCCUAAUCUGUCUGUCUUCGGGGGAUGGCAGACAGCUGCUUUAAUGAGUUAACAGUAGGGUUUAAAAUAACCAGCAUCUGUUCUUUGUGCGAGCAGGGGCUCUCCUACCACAGCCCUGCCUUCCAAAAACAACCUUGCAGGGGCGGGGUGCGCUCGGGCCCACUCCCUGCGGAUGCUCCAUCCCUCGUGGCUUUGCUGCCGGGAUGGGAUGAGUUUCCCUCGGCAGCUCCUCCUGCAAGCACUGCUCGGAUAAGUCAUCAGCUGGGGGGAACGCAUCUCUGCAGUGAAGGGUUUUGCAGAGGGUGGGGAUUAUCUCAGACUUUCCUGGUGCGGCUCUGAUCACCUUGAGAGCCUUAUGCUAGAAACACACACCUGCGGCUUGUUUUCCACCUGUGGCUUGUUUUCUUCCUGCAGUUUUGACCCCUCUGCCCGUGAGUCCCCAGAGACCCACCUUUCUCUCACCUCCCCAGCCCUGAUGGGCACAUAGUUUGAUUUGGGGACACGAGAUGGAGUGUAGCGAUGCCCACCUCCCCACCCAGCCGCUGCACCAGGCGAGAGGGAGGAUGUCACGCAGCACAACCACUCUUGGUGCUCAUGAAGCCCAAGGCACCCCCAGACCUGUACAAGUCCUGCAGCCACACUGAUCCCACGGACCUUCUUGGGUGUUUGGAUAAAAAUUCUUCAUGGAAAGGGUUGUAAAGCACUGGAACAGGCUGCUUGGGAAAGUGGUGGAGUCACUGUCCCUGGAGGGGUUUAAAAGACGUAUAGAUGAGGCUCUCAGGGACAUGGGUUAGUGCUAAAGUUCGGUUAUGGUUGGACUCGAUCUUAAGGGUCUCUUCCAAACAAAAUGAUUCUUGCAAGCCCAGGCUGCACAGCCACAAUGGCCAGUGGGUAUUGACCCUCUCUGUCCAUCAGUUGCUCUUUGAAGCCCUUUUCCUGGGCGUCCUCCACGCUGGGAACGGAUGCAGGGAGCACGCUGGAGGUGACCUCUGUGUGGGACUUGGAUCCAUUCCCUCGGAGGUGAAAGCAAAUUAGUGUCAGAGCUAACGAAGCCAGGUCCAGCGUUGGAAGGAGAUGGCUGAGUCCCGACAAGACGCUUCCCGCUGGGAGGGGGACCCCGUGUCCGGGCUGCUGAGCCUCGGAGCCAACUGCCAGCCCACUCCCUCCCCUUCUCUUAUUUAUUGGGUGUGGGAGGUGGUGGAGUUUUUUCUCUUUCCCGGAUGCACCCAGCGCAGCGGUCUCUGCACGACACCAAAUUAAUUAAUGUUGGGCAGGCGGAAUGCAAUUAACUACCCUGGAGCCUGGCCAAGGCAGGGGCAGCAUUCCUUGCUCCUGCGAGCAACAACUCCAGAGCUUCGCUGGGCAGGACCUCGCUUGGCUGCACAGCUCAAGGGCAGGAGGCUUCGACAGGGGCACGUCCUUCUGGAAAUGCCUCCUCCAGGCCCUUUUGCUGCCCUGCACCUGCACUUGGAUGCCAUUCCAUGCGCGAUCCCAUCGCUGCUUGUUCCCUCGUUCCAGCCCCGGGAGGUGGCAGGAGGAGGGAGGCAGCAUCUGCAGGAGCUUGCAGCACAGUUGGCAAAAUCCUGGGCAGAAGUAAUCAAGCGAGAGGCCGUGGGAGCGUUUCAAGGACCAACUGGCUGGAUUUUAUUUAUUGCUGCCACUCACUGAGAAAAUGGACUCGGGAGGAGAUUCCUGGGCCGCGGGUGCUGCGCAGGACCGGCAGCUUCUGUUAAAUAGAGCAUCGCCUGACAGAGCUGUGAUUUAGCUGUGGCUAUUUAAAGGGGUUUACAGGCAGCCAACGCGGAGCAUCUGCAGGCAAAAUGGGCAGCUUUGGCAGUUCGGCUUCUUUGAAAGUCAACUAAAUUAAAAAAAAAAAAAAAGACAAUUAAAAAGAAAAAGCUUGUGCAGAAAUAGCGAUUGAGGAGGUGGCUGCAGAAGGCAACUGGUGGGUUUGGGGGUCCAGCUGAACCCCAGUCCUGAGCUUCAUGUAACCCACGCAGAAACAUGUCCCCUGCCCUGCAUUGCCAGCCUGGCUGUGUGCUGGGGCACGUUAUGCAUCACCUCCUCUUCCUUUAGCCUUUCUGUUUUUCCUGCUGUCCAUCUACACCUCUGGACGUGUGUAACAGCUCUGCAGUUCAGUUACCUGAACCCUUCUUGUUCCAUGCGGGAGGAAGGUUAAAGCCCAGAUGGCUUUGAAUAAUAAACAAGGCUAUAAAUCCACAUGGUAUAUACAAACUCAUAAAGCAGUGCUUGGCAGGACAUGUCACCAACAUGCCAUUAACAGGGCUACCCUCCCCUUCCACAGCACCCCGCCAGCCAAGUGGGGUUUGGGGGUGAGCACCAGAGAUGGAUAGUGUUGGAUCUUAAUUCCCAGCCUGUAUAAGCACCCUGUUCCUCCCAAGAAGGAAAACCAAGAUGCCCAGUUACCUCUGCUCAGCUCCAUCCCUGGGCCAGGUCUUCCAUCAGCCCAGGGUCCCCGUUGGGUGAUCCAAACCCCUGAGCUCUACCAGGUCUGUGGCACCCGGCUUCAUCAGGAUGUCGGCAUUUCACGGGCUGCUGGGUCCCCAGGAGCAGCCCUGUACUUCUCACAUUAUCUUCCUCCUCCAAAGGGCAAUUUAGAAGUGUAAGGAUCAAGAUUAAAAUGUCACACAUUCUUCUUUGUUACACCCAUUAAAUGCUUUAUUCUGCCGAGGCCAACCCAUCUCUUGUCUCAGGCUUCAAUUGCGAACUCCUCUAUGUCCAACCUCAGUGCAAUGGGUCGUGUUCUCCCAGACUUCUAUAAAACAAUUCCAGAUACCAGAAAUGUCGGAUCUGCAUCCGUUUCAGCCGAGGCUGAGCUGCCCUGCAGCAAGAGGUGCCUCGGCCAACCUGGUUUUACACCCAUGGCUGGGUGUUCUCUGUCUGCAGAAAGCUGUUCUCUCUUGCAUCUUGGCCCAAACUUCGUCUUUGAGAAGCUCUAGAUAGCAAGGGCUGGAUCUGAUUUUAAAACAUCAUAUUUCUGGGAAUAUUCCCAUCAUCGCAUAAGUUAUUGGCAAGGUAAGCUGGGCCAGGAGUCUGGUGACAAUUUAUGUGUUCAGACUCCUGUGCUAGCCGGAGUCCUCCAGACAGUCACAGCGAACUCACAGGGAGCUUUUUUCUUAAAAUCCCUGUGAUUUUAGACAUUAAAAAGAGCGGGUAUAUUGUGGGGUCAGCUUUGCCCUGAGGAAGACAGACGUGGAGCCCCAGUCCCAGCCAGGCUGCACUGACAGCACAGGGGGUGACGCACAGCAACGGGGAGCAGAGCUGCUGUAAAUCACAGCGUCACAUUCCAUAGGCACACAGCCAUGAGGCUGCUGGAAAUGGCCUGAGCAGCCGUGUCAGAGGCAACGAGACAUAAAUGGGUAUGUUGCUCAGCACCCCUCAAACCCAUCAGGCUCUCCUGGUGGAGCAGGGACCCCACAAAACACACAUCUGGGUCCCCCCGACCCUCAGGAGUGUGGGCACACUGCAGCUUUGCCUUGGGAAGCCUGAGCUCCUGCCUGAUGCCAGAGUCAUUUUUUAUCUCCUGUUCUCCCCCAACGUGACACAAGAUUAAUUACAGCCAUAAAAACAUUAGGAGCUUUCUAAAUAUUUUAUGUGAGUAAGCACACACAAUAUGAGGGUUUUACCUGUUACAUUUUUGUAAAGGACAUUUUGUUUAUAAUAACUGAGAAACCUGACAGGUGAUUUUAUUUUUAGUGCUCCUGUCUGCUUUGAAGGACUCCAAAUGCAGAGAGGAGACAAGAGCAAUAAAAACCAUCCUCGGAGUCCCAAGGAGGGCACAUAGAGCUAAUGAGAAGGGGGCUAAAAGGAGAUCACUAUAAAUUUCAGCCCCCAAGCUGAUCUUGAUGCUUGAUGGCUGCAAAUUUGAGCACAGAGGCAGUGGCAGGGGCUCCCCAGCACCACGUGCCGGCGGUGACAGUUUGGAUUGAGACGGUCCGUGCUGAGGAUGGGUUGUGUUCGCUCACCACUCCCAGCUAUUUUGUGAUCUGUAGAUAGCAAAAGCGACACCGUCACCGGAGGGCAGAUGUUUGAUCCCUAUUCAGCUGGUUGGAAUUCAACAGGCGCCCUGUGGGUUGGCGAUUUUUCUAUCCACCUCAGUGUCCAUCUGCGGUCGGAGACUAGAAGCAAUAAGGCACUAGUCUGGUUUUUCCUGGGGCGAGAUAGCGGCUAAAUCAUCCUCUCAAUAACGGAAAGAUUGGGGGGAAUUCUUCAUGUUUCUUCCACUGUUGCCGUCCUCGAAGUGUCCCACACUGAGCACUGGAGAGCGGGAGCAUCCCAGUUGCAGGAGGAGGUUUUGCAAAGCUGCCGUGAUGGCUUUGUGCCAGCGGCAGAUCCCAGCGAGGCACCCAGGGGAGCCCUCAAAGCUUCCUUAAACAGCCAGGGAGGCUUUGAGGAUUCGGCUUGUCGUCUUUGUGUUUGAAAGACUAGAUCUCGCUCGCCGUUAUCCGGGGAGACAAGACUUUGCAAGCAGUUCCUACAGCAGGAUCCGCUCCACCCAGGUAGGACUCGUUUUGCUGCCUGGGUUUCUGAGCCUACACCUCCCUUCUUGUUCAGGCAGAGCACACUUGGACAUGGAGCAAUUACAGCAGACAGCGCUUCUUUCCUCACCCUUCGUGACUAUCUCCAGCGAUCCCAGCAAGUCAUCCAAUUUCCUGGUGUUACUGUGGUAGUGCAAGGCAAGAAGCCAUUAGCGACUGGGUCUCGAUGUGUCUCAUUCUCGGUUUAAAUAUUGAAGAGGCUUCGGAACACCUCUUCAUCUUAGCAGUUGACCUGAAAUGGUAUCUGUUGCAUCGCACAGCUGUUAUUUUUUGGUGAGCUGUCAUGGUUUCUGAUUGCAGAGCGAGGAGAUGCGGCGCUCCAGAGCCCUGACACGCAGCGGGACUCAGAGUUUGUGCUGAAUAUUUCAUGCAGACACAUGCAGACAGAGGAACUGGUCUGUUUUCAAUUCUGAUUUUCUCUGCUUCUCGAGGUGCAUAAAUGAUGCAUAUUGUUUAAGCUUCCCGGUUUUGGAGGAGGGAAGAGUGACAAAUGCCUUUGCUGUCAGUUGCCCGAGUUUUGGGUGAAACAGGCCUCGUGUCUUUGGUUGUCUGUACGGUAUUAUAAGGAAAGAAUUGUGCUGGUGGCUGAGCCCUGGGCAGCCCGCCGGCAUCCCCCACGGCAGCCGGGGGCACGGGGACCAGGGUGGCCAGCACAGAGCCAGGACUCAGCCCCUGUUCAGCAGGAUCUAAUACCGGUAAUCUCCAGUUAAUGAGGUGCUGUUUCAGGCUUUCCAAGGCUUUAGCAGGUCAAAACAAAUGCAUUUCACACCGGUUAAUCUUUGCCGAGUGACUCCAAGUGGAACACCAGCCUAUGCUUGCAGGGAAGGUCCGUGGAGCCCCUAUUGCCCAAAACCUUGAGCUGCUGCGAGGAGCCUCUCCAACCUCUCACAGCAUCCCAAUACGAUUCCCCAAAGCAUCGUGCUCUCCCACCUGUAGUUCUCCACCUCUUUUUUCCUACAUUUUUUAGCACUUCUCUUGGGCAGAAGCCUCCACAUUCAACCAUCUCUUGCUGUUGCAUCCAUCCUGCCCACAGAGUCCAUCCGGCUGCGGUUUCACAGAAUCACACAGAAUCCCAGGAUGUCAGGGGUUGAAGGGCCCUGGAAAGCUCAUGCAGUGCAAUCCCCCCAUGGAGCAGGAACACCCAGAUGAGGUUACACAGGAAGGUGUCCAGGCGGGUUGGAAUGUCUGCACAGAAGGAGACUCCACAACCCCCUGGGCAGCCUGGGCCAGGCUCUGCCACCCUCACCCCAAACAAGUUUCUUCUCAAAUUUAAGUGGAACCUCCUGUGUUCCAGUUUGCACCCAUUGCCCCUUGUCCUGUCACUGGUUGUCACCAGAAGAGCCUGGCUCCAUCCUCCUGACACUCCCCCUUUCCAUAUUGAUCCCCAGGAAUGAGUCCCCCCUCAGUCUCCUCUUGUCCAGCUCCAGAGCCCCAGCUCCCUCAGCCUUUCCUCACACGGGAGAUGCUCCACUCCCUCCAGCAUCUUGGUGGCUGCGCUGGACUCUCUCCAGCAGUUCCCUGUCCUGCUGGAACUGAGGGGCCACAGCUGGACACAACAUUCCAGGUGUGGUCUCCCCAGGGCAGAGCAGAGGGGCAGGAGAACCUCUCUGACCUACUGACCACCCCCUUCUAACCCACCCCAGGUACCAUUGGCUUCCUGGCCACAAGGGCCAGUGCUGGCUCAUGGUCACCCUGCUGUCCCCAGGACCCCCAGGUCCCUUUCCCCUACACUGCUCUUUAAUAGGUUUGGAGAACUCUGGGCAGAAUCAAUCACUGACCAUGGGUCGGGAAGUGCUGCACCAAAGCAGCAGCCUGCCGUGGGUUUUCUCCCGCCUCCCCAUGAGAUAUGUUGUCUAUGGAUCCUUAGAGAAGUUUCAUUUUAAUGAAAACCCUUUGUGGCUCUUUCAGCAGCUGGAAAAGAGUGAUUAGAGGAACUCCUGGUGUCAUUUUCUUUGCCCAGGCUCUGCUUUUCUCCUUAACAACUUUCCUGUGAUUGACGGUACAAAGGAAGCUGCCACAAAAUGAGACAGAAAUCGGUGGUCGAUUAGAGCUUUUCUUUAAAGGUCAACCAAAAAUUAUAACGCAAACCCCAGAGUUAUAUUAUAGAAGGCAAAAUCUGCUACAUGGGCUGCAGAGCUGUGAGGGACGGCUCUAGAAAUUCUGAGUUAAUUACUAAGAAAAUUCUUGGUAUUGAUUACUAAGAAUUAAUUAUUAUUCUUUGCCAAUCAGUAGGAAAUUCUUAGUUAAUUACCGCAAAGGCAGAGAUCACAGAAGAUGCUACAGAGACCAACAUCUCUCACCGCAGCACCUGUGAGGCUGUUCCACUUUGGACCAACGGCUUCUCGGUGUCUUUUAGCAGAUCAAUUUUUGCUUUAAAUGAUCGUGCAAGUUAAUAAAAAACCCCCUGUUGGAGUAAAAAUGAAACAUCCCAGCCAAGAUUCUCUAAAUUGUUUUGAGGGCCUUGACCUUUUUUCCUUUGUUCUCCCAAUGUCAGGUUUGAAAAGCUUUGUAAUAUUUGACAUUUGGGGCAGGAGAGGGGGAUAAAAAAAUACCCUAAUUUGUACCUGGAUUUUCUCUUCAGCAAUGAAGCAGUAAAAUGUACAUUUAGGCAUUGGACAGGCUCUGCAGUUCAGCCUCACCUCCUUUUUCCUUAGGCCAUAUCUACCCCUACGCUCACCAUAAAUAAUCUUCACACUUCCUGGGGCCUUUAAUACUAAUUAAGCCUUAAACUAGGCAGAAACGAGGUAAGGGAGACUUAUAUCACAGAUUCCUCACUCAGCAUUGCGAGUACUUUGCUUUCUGUCUUCAACGCACUUUCAAGAGAAGGUUUUGCAGCGUUUUCUAAGGACUAGAUUUGUUUAAUGACGCCCGAAUUCGGCGUCGCUCAUCCCUGUAGCCUGUGUAAUCCAUAACUGCUGCUUUGGGGGAGCUUGAUUGCUGUUCGCCAGUCGAAUGGGGUUUUUCCUGUUUGUUUUGGGGUUCUCAUUGAGUCCUUGAGGAGGGUUGGAGGGCAAAAGCUUGUGGGUUAAAGUGCUCAAAUGGCUCCGGUGACAUGAUCGGGUGGGAUGGGCAGAACGGUCUGAGAAGGGGAAAUGUGCCCGUGGCAGCGUCAACGCACGUGCAGGGACCAGGGCUGGAAAAUGACAUUUCCAGCAUCUAAUUCUUCACCUCAAAACCACCCUCCAUAGCUGAUGGGUGCAAACGCCUUGAAUGAGAGAAUUUGUAUGUGUGCGAACGGGGGGAAGGACCCUGAAAACUUUCUCCUUGCUUUCUCGCUCUUUUCAAUACCUCCAAUGCUAAAGCAUUAAAGCUUAAUCCUCUACACUAACUCUCUACAGCCACGUCUCCCAGUAAUCCCAGUACCUGUUUGCUCCGAGUUACAGGUCUGGAGGGACAGGCUGAGCCUUCAGGUCACAGCAGGUCCAUGAAACAGGUGCCGCCGUUCCCCAAACGAUGCACGGGUCGCAUCGGUGGGCAGGGAAACAGCAUUUAAACUGACCUGAGAUGUAUUUUUUCCGGUGAGUUGGAGGAAAACAAAACGGUUUGUCCACCAUCUGUGGGAAAAGCAUUUCCAUCGGCUUUUAGAGCCGCUUGGACGUAAUUAGUUUCUAGACGAAACUUUUCAUGUCCUCGCGUUGGAAUUGUUUGGGUUUGGAAACGCUGUGAAAGGAUUUUGAUGCGUGAAAGGAACUUUGUUAAAUAUUAACCUUCUUUUUUAAGCAAAUUUGAUGCUGGUUCGCAAAGCUGGGAUGUGCGUUUUCUGGUCAAUGAGAUUCAGAAAGAAUGGUCUGGUUAGAGGAUAAACAACAUGUAACGGAGGUGAAGAGGAGAAGGGAAAAGAACCGGCUGGUUUCAUCUAAAACCCUGGGCAAUCGAUGCGAAGUCUCCAUGGGCUCAAGGCUGUGGCCCAGCGAGAUGGAGGAGGUGGAUCAAUCGCGGGCAAGAGGAGGCAGAACAAACGUCACAAAUCCAAUAUAUUUUUUCAAAGAACAACGCGGAGUUAAAAGCUUUGGCUUGACGGGUUGGGCAUUACAUAUCAAAGCUUUUGUCAGCACUGGGAAGUGUUUCACCUCAAGUCAAUGCUCUUUGGCAAAAAUAAGAAUGGGAAAAAGUAUUUUAAGGAAUCUGCAUGUUUUUUUCUCUGUGCGCGAAGGGAAAAACACCUUGGCGAAGAGAUUUCUUCAAUCAAAAAGCCAUGGAGUGUUUUGCCUGUUCCCAGAGAGACCGCGGAGAGAAGAGCCCCGUCAGUAAUUUGAAAUUCCACGUGUGAAAUGGGGAAAGCAGUGAGAAGCGGAGCUGGAACAGCUCUAGGUGAGACCCCAAGACACUAGUAGAUACAGGGACACAAUGGGCCUUCCACCCUCCUCCUCCAGUGUCCAUCCCCACCAUGAGCAAACCUGGAUCUCGCAGUGGAAAUAACUCCAAGAUUUGCAAAGGAGACAUUUCGCUCACGUCUCGCCCAGAUUUCUGCAUCGCACAAGCUGGGAAGUGUCCCUAUCUUCCCUUUCCCUGUUUGCCUGGUUCCAAUUCCCCUAUAGAUCUGCAGUUUUUGGGUUGGUUUGCAAUGGCAAACCCGGCGUUCUCUUGCUGCCGUACGCUUGUCCAAAGGCAGCUUCCAAAGUGGCUCAAUUAAGCUCCACGGUUGUUAUUGAUACUAAUGAAGAGAGAAAGCUGGCCCCUGAAGGCUCAGCUAAUUUCCGUGUCUGAUGCUUGCAUUGUUUGAAUAUUCAAGGAUCUGUAUUAAAUUCUUUACAAAAAAAUAAAUAGAGAUGUCACGA